Molecule: long non-coding RNA, 1577 nt
Filed under: Homo sapiens (human)
Lineage: Eukaryota; Metazoa; Chordata; Mammalia; Primates; Hominidae
Description: long non-coding RNA NONHSAT194844
Source: RNAcentral
CAACUGCUUAGCUUUUCUUAACUGAUAUUAGUCAAUUUGGAAGUUGUGCAAGAACUUUAGUCAAUUUAAACCUUGAUUGUUUUGUGGUUGUUUCAAAAGUAACUUACAAUUUUGAGAUAGAUAUUAUUUUUUUAAAAAAUCAGACACAUUGUUGCUUUGUAGUCCAUUGUAUGGAUACUGUUCUUUCUUUGUGUGUUGGGGUACCAUUGAAGCAUUUUAAUCAGAAGAGUGACUUGCGUUUAACAGAAUCGCUGUGAGUGCUAUGGAGUAUAGGCUGUAGGGUGGUAUCCUGAAGCAGAAGACCAGUAAAGCAGCAGCUGUAAUGAUACUAAUAAAUGUAGGGGUCUCAUAACAGGCUAGCCAUGAAGGGAAGGAAGGUGAUCAGAUUCUGAAUACAUUUUGAAAGUAGAGCUCAUAGGAUUUCAUGAGGGAUUGGAUGUGGGAUUUGAAAGAAAGAGAGUAGUUGAGGAUAAUUCCAAGAUUUUUGGCUUGAAUAGACAGAAGAUACGAAAGCAGCUGAUUUGGACAGGAGGUUUAAAGGUAUAUUUCUGGAAGAUUAAGAUUGAGAUGCAUCUAAGACAUAUAAGAGGAAUUUCAAGUAGGCAGGUGAAUAUAUGAGUCUGAGAUUCAAGAGAGAGAGAAAUCUAGGAUGGAGUUAUAAAUUUUGGAGUCAUUAGCAUAUAGAUGGUUUUUAAGGCCAUGAGACUGCAUAAGAUCAUUAUCCAAAUAAGACUGAGUUGAGAGAGAAAGAUGUUUAGAGGCUGAGCUCUGGGCAUACUGAGGUUAGGAGCUGGUGGGGGAUGAGCAGGGAACAGCAAAAGGGACUAUGAAGUAAAAAGACAGCUGGUGAGGUGUAGAGUCCUAGAAGCCAAAUGAAGAGAGUGCUGAAAGGAGAGAGUAACCGUACUUUUCAAGUAAAGGAUAUAAGGACUAGGAAUUGACCGUUGAAUUUAGUAACCUGAAAAUCAUUAAUGACCUUGCCAACUGUAAUUUCAGUGGAGCAAUGAACUGAAGAUAUUUGAGUGAGUUCAAGAGAGACUCAGAAGAGAAGAAUUGGAGGCAGCAAACAUAGACAGCACUUUUAAUGCUUUUCUCAUAUGCUGUAAGACAUGAAAGCAAUCUAUUGGGAUGAAAGCUGAAAGGAGAAGCGGGACAAGAGAAGGUAUCUUUUGUUUUUGUUUUCAAUGGGAAAGUUACAGCAGGCUUAUAUGCUGUGGGAAUGAUGCAGUAAAGAAGAGAUAUUAAUGAUGGAGAAGGAAGAGACUUUUUGGUUUAAUGACUUUAAGUAGAGAUGAAGUGACAGACCCCAGUCCACAAAUGAAGAUGGAAGCACUGAUAAGGCCUACUUGUUAGAGGGGAAAGUAGAGUAAGUGGGCAGCUAGAUGUGAGUAGGUGGAUACAUGCAUGAUAGUACCCUGUGGAAAUCCUUUUCUCAUUGUUUAGGCGAGAGUAGGUUGGAGGCAGAAAUAAGGGAAAUUAGAAAAAAAGGAAGAACAACUGAAAAUCAUCUACUAGACUGGGUGGGAUGGGGCAGGUUGGAGAAUGGUUCUGAGAAUUUAGUGUGACUGCCAGACAAC